GAUGAACGCUGGCGGCAGGCCUAACACAUGCAAGUCGAGCGGAUGACGGGAGCUUGCUCCUUGAUUCAGCGGCGGACGGGUGAGUAAUGCCUAGGAAUCUGCCUGGUAGUGGGGGACAACGUUUCGAAAGGAACGCUAAUACCGCAUACGUCCUACGGGAGAAAGCAGGGGACCUUCGGGCCUUGCGCUAUCAGAUGAGCCUAGGUCGGAUUAGCUUGUUGGUGAGGUAAUGGCUCACCAAGGCGACGAUCCGUAACUGGUCUGAGAGGAUGAUCAGUCACACUGGAACUGAGACACGGUCCAGACUCCUACGGGGGGCAGCAGUGGGGAAUAUUAGACAAUGGGCGAAAGCCUGAUCCAGCCAUGCCGCGUGUGUGAAGAAGGUCUUCGGAUUGUAAAGCACUUUAAGUUGGGAGGAAGGGCAGUAAGCUAAUACCUUGCUGUUUUGACGUUACCGACAGAAUAAGCACCGGCUAACUCUGUGCCAGCAGCCGCAGUAA
Molecule: ribosomal RNA, 500 nt
Filed under: uncultured bacterium
Lineage: Bacteria
Description: partial 16S ribosomal RNA
Rfam family: Bacterial small subunit ribosomal RNA
Source: RNAcentral